AAAUUGUUUAUAUUAAAUUGUGUUAUUUUAAGAAAUAAUAUUUUAUUUGAAUCUCUAAUUGACUUUUCUUGACCGCAUGUAUAUGUAUAAUGUCGUUUCCUAGACGAUGCGGUUUGCAUUGUUGAUGAUUAUUUUGACUGACGUCGCCAUUUAUCAAAAAAAUAUUAAAUUCAGAUUAUAAUUGUGUGGAAAAUAUUUCUGGGACUGAAUAGAAGGAAUGAAGUAUUAUACAGAUUGCAAAUUGCGUGAUCAUAGAGUGAGAGCAUUACACAAGUGUCCCGGCAUCUAAG
This 290-nucleotide long non-coding RNA is filed under the name Sitophilus oryzae (rice weevil). RNAcentral's name for it is "uncharacterized LOC115891527". The record is from RNAcentral. Lineage: Eukaryota; Metazoa; Arthropoda; Insecta; Coleoptera; Curculionidae.